UUCACACUGGUUCUUCCACUUCAGCUGGAGGUUAGGAUGAGUGCUCUCAAGGGUCUCCUCAAACUGGGAGAUCAUCUGGUUUUAUUCACGUGAAACUUUUCAUUUUGCAGGAAUAGAAACAAUCUAAGAAGCAUAAAGGCAGAAAAGUGAGAAAGGUUGUGAUGCCUUGAAGAGUUGACUUAGAGCAUAUCAAGAUGUACUGUGGUGUCAUAGAGUCAUGGGAAAGAAACUGAUGUCACAAUGGAAUAGUAGGCUAAGAUCACCAUGAAAAAGAUCCAGUGCACUCUCCUAAAGAGACUGAAUGAUGAUCCCAGGAACCAACGUGGCAGCUCGGAGUGGGAAAGUCAUUGGUGUACCAGCACUAGGCAGUGCAGCUGCAGACACACAGUGAUACCAAGUAAUGUGGCAGGCCUCCUUUUAAGUGCAUCAAGUGGAGGCCUAGACAGCAGGGGCACAAUUUAAAUAAAAUCUUCCUGAU
Molecule: long non-coding RNA, 478 nt
Filed under: Rhinopithecus bieti (black snub-nosed monkey)
Lineage: Eukaryota; Metazoa; Chordata; Mammalia; Primates; Cercopithecidae
Description: lncRNA (ENSRBIG00000046674.1)
Source: RNAcentral